RNAcentral lists this long non-coding RNA (306 nucleotides) under Bos taurus (domestic cattle). Its description in RNAcentral is "long non-coding RNA NONBTAT025128". The record is from RNAcentral. Lineage: Eukaryota; Metazoa; Chordata; Mammalia; Artiodactyla; Bovidae.
GUCAUUUAAAAUGUUCCAUUUGUUUUUCAACAAAUGUUUGUUUUGAUUCUGUUGAUUAUAUAAAAUAUUCCUGUUACUGUUAAAAUGUAGUUAUUAUAUGUAAUUAAGUCAUUAAGUCAUUUUCACAAAUUCCAACAUCACAAAUACAGCAAAUACAAAUUUGCUUUAUUGAUUAUAUGUAAUAUUGUUUCAUAAGUUAAUUACUUUUCCUGAAUGUCAUUGGUAUUUUACAAAAUCAUUAUUAUUACCUGAUACAUAUUUGUGGAGUUAUUUCUAUCUUUCUACAAAAAAUAAAACCUUUUUUUU